This 265-nucleotide ribosomal RNA is filed under the name uncultured archaeon. RNAcentral's name for it is "partial 16S ribosomal RNA". It matches the Rfam family "Archaeal small subunit ribosomal RNA", at positions 714 to 982 of the family's 1478-position model. The record is from RNAcentral.
AGACGUCUACAUUAGAUACCCCCGUAGUCCCAGCCGUAAACUAUGCGCGUUAGGUGUAUCGGUGACCACGAGUCACCGGGGUGCCGAAGGGAAACCGUGAAACGUGCCGCCUGGGAAGUACGGUCGCAAGGCUGAAACUUAAAGGAAUUGGUGGGGGAGCACCACAACGGGUGGAGCCUGCGGUUUAAUUGGACUCAACGCCGGAAAUCUCACCGGAUAGGACAGACAUAUGAUAGUCGGGCUGAAGACUCUACUUGAUGAUCUG